This 447-nucleotide ribosomal RNA is filed under the name uncultured bacterium. Its description in RNAcentral is "bacterial SSU rRNA". It matches the Rfam family "Bacterial small subunit ribosomal RNA", at positions 954 to 1392 of the family's 1533-position model. The record is from RNAcentral.
GCUUAACGCGAAGAACCUUACCAAGGCUUGACAUACACCGGAAACAUCCAGAGAUGGGUGACCCCCUUGUGGUCGGUGUACAGGUGGUGCAUGGCUGUCGUCAGCUCGUGUCGUGAGAUGUUGGGUUAAGUCCCGCAACGAGCGCAACCCUUGUCCCGUGUUGCCAGCAGGCCCUUGUGGUGCUGGGGACUCACGGGAGACCGCCGGGGUCAACUCCGGGGGAAGGUGGGGACGACGUCAAGUCAUCAUGCCCCCUUAUGUCUUGGGCUGCAUACGUGCUACAAUGGCCGGUACAAUGAGCUGCGAUACCGUGAGGUGGAGCGAAUCUUAAAAAGCCGGUCUCAGUUCGGAUUGGGGUCUGCAACUCGACCCCAUGAAGUCGGAGUCGCUAGUAAUCGCAGAUCAGCAUUGCUGCGGUGAAUACGUUCCCGGGUCUUGUACACACCG